GGUGAUUGCAAGGAGGAGGUGUCUUGGCAGGUGCGGAACUGCUGCUCCAGGCUCCUGGGUGGCUGUCCUGGGAGGAAGAUGUAUCUCCCAGCCUCUUGUGAACAUUUAAGACAGGAAGAAAAGGACGCUGAUUGAAACCAUGUUGCCUGACCACCUCUAGCUGCAAAGGAUGUUAGAUAAAAGACUAUGAAUAUUCCCAACAUCAUUUCUGAAAAGCACUGUGGUGGUUUGUAGCUGUAUGUACCCCAGAUAAACAUGUUCUUAAAUCUCAUCCUUUCCUAUGGGUGUAAGUCCAUGGCAGGUAGG
Molecule: long non-coding RNA, 306 nt
Filed under: Dasypus novemcinctus (nine-banded armadillo)
Lineage: Eukaryota; Metazoa; Chordata; Mammalia; Cingulata; Dasypodidae
Description: lncRNA (ENSDNOG00000050448.1)
Source: RNAcentral